AACGCACGAGACCUGCGGACCUGCGGAAGGAUCAUUAAUGAGAAGCUGCCCCUCGUGGGUAGACCUCCCACCCUCUGUGAACUUACCUUUGUUGCUUUGGCAGGCCCGUCCCCUGGACCGCCGGCUUCGGCUGGCCCGUGCCUGCCAGAGGAUUCCAAACCCUGUCUGUCAGUGUUGUCUGAGUCUAUAUGAAAUCGUUAAAACUUUUAACAACGGAUCUCUAGAUCGGAAGAGCACACG
This 240-nucleotide unclassified non-coding RNA is filed under the name soil metagenome. RNAcentral describes it as "partial contains 5.8S ribosomal RNA, internal transcribed spacer 2, and large subunit ribosomal RNA". The record is from RNAcentral.